RNAcentral lists this ribosomal RNA (254 nucleotides) under uncultured bacterium. RNAcentral's name for it is "partial 16S ribosomal RNA". It matches the Rfam family "Bacterial small subunit ribosomal RNA", at positions 524 to 776 of the family's 1533-position model. The record is from RNAcentral.
UACAUAGGGUGCGAGCGUUGUCCGGAAUUAUUGGGCGUAAAGAGCUCGUAGGCGGUCUGUCGCGUCGAUCGUGAAAACUUGGGGCUUAACCCUGAGCUUGCGGUCGAUACGGGCAUGACUGGAGUUCGGCAGGGGAGACUGGAAUUCCUGGUGUAGCGGUGAAAUGCGCAGAUAUCAGGAGGAACACCGGUGGCGAAGGCGGGUCUCUGGGCCGAUACUGACGCUGAGGAGCGAAAGCGUGGGGAGCAAACAGG